CGUCGUCUUCCGCUCACUUCCGGCGUGCUGCGUCACGGCCCGCCCGAACUGCGCCCGGGGGGACAGGUUUGAGCGUGGCACCGAGGCACCCGCGCUGUGCUGGGGGACAGGUUUGAGUGUGGCACCGAGGCACCCGCGCCGCGCUGGGGGACAGAAUUGUGUUGUCAAGUGAAUUGCUGGCAGGAGGCAGACGUGCCUGGAUGGAAGAUUUUCAUGUGGCUGGUGAAUCAGCUCGAAAAUGUAAAAAGGUGAGCAUUAAAACAGGCUGCCUCCUACUUUAACCCCAUUAGAAAUCACGAGUUGUUGCAAAGUACCUUAAUGCACUCAGGGUGCUCGGGAUAAAGGAAAGCCGCAGUUGCUCCCAGAGGAGCUUCCCAUCUAAUUUUAACCAUGACACAAUCGGCGACAGUGACAAAUGGGGGAGGGAGAAAAGGGGCAAGGGAGGAUGAGGGUGACAAUAAUAAGAUUACACGGUCACUUAGGUUCAUUAUGUGCACGUCUUUGUGGCACUGCUGCUCCAUUAUGUUUGUGAUGGGUGGAGGAAUGACUUUGGGAGAGGAAGGGGCAAAGAGCAGAGUAGGAGAAAAGCCAAAUGUAUUUUUGUGCAGGUGACUUUAACCAGCAAUGCCUCGCUCUUGGGCUGAGGAGAAGUCCAAGCAAGUGGACACAGGAUUGGGAAAAUGGAUUUUUUCCCCUCCUCCAGUAUCGAUUUGGAUUGCCAAGAUUUAUUUCCCAACUCACAGCACUUUAUACCUGGGCAUAGAUGCCUACAGCUGAAAAAAAGGGCCAAUCUCAAAGUGCACCAGGUUGUUUGUUAUCCUUAAGACGAGUCAUUCCCUUCAUUAAACAGUUUGCACAGCUCUUUCACCACCUUGUGCCCUACCACAUAUCCUGAGCCACAAAAAUAGCUGGUGAUGUAAAAGGUUUUGAAAGUCUGGAUGGGAAGAGCUGCUUCUGCCAUAAAUGGCCAAGCCCUGAGCCAGCCAUGCCGGGCCCCUCCUGCCCAUACCACCUCUGCCACUCCCUCGCUAUCACCAUCCCCUCCCCUGAGGUGCGGCACAUCCCGGGUCAAAGGCCUGAUUUAAUCUCUGCUGCCACUUUCUCCACAGCUCCUGCCAAGAAGGAAGGAGCAGGGCUCAGCCCUCGGUGCUGCCCCAGGGGGGUUUGCCCUUUCUCAGCAAAACAGCCUUCCCAAAUGAACAUCCGGGCGGGAUUCGAUUGCUGCCAGAGCAGCUCUGUGCUGUUGAUGGACUCAGCUGCUCUAUGCUGUGCCUGCAGCCAGCAACAAUAAAGCAGGCUCUUAUUAAAUUAACCUGCUAAGACACAGAUCCUGCAGGGAUGUUCAGGGAACAGACAGAUGGCACAAGCAAGGGCCAGGAAUAAUUGCAAUCUCCAUCUCACCAACAUGAGAGAUGAAUCCUGCCCGGUGCUGUGCCCAGCAGGGAGGUGGGACUGGGAGCAAUACCUACAAAGGAGCCUCUCCAAGCCAUGGGUGGAGCAAGGGGUCUGGAACAGGACCUGUGCAUGCCAGGGUGGGACAGUACCACCCCCCAGCAGCCAAAGCCUCCCCACUGCAGGCACAGUGUGGGCGCUGCGCGGCCACCACCACCUCUUGUGGGCUGUUCCUGCUGCCAUCAUCAAUCUGCUCUGACUCCCUGUGUCUGCUCGAGCUGCAAAGCAGGCUCUCCUCUGCCAGGAAGCCUGCAGCAGGCUGCUGAGCCAGGGCAGCAGGGAUAGCCCUGAUUUCACCUCAGUUGCCAUCUAGCUGGGGACGUCAUUUGCGUAAAUACAUGCAAAACCAGCUUAAGAGCCAGUCUCCUUUCUUCUUUGCCUCUUCCAGAGGUUUUGCUAAUCCACUUAUUGUGCCUUAUGGUGUUUAGCAGGGAAGCUGCAGAGUAGGAGCAGCUCCUUAGGGCUCAAAUGGCUACUGGAGCCCCAGGGGCUGCUCUCACAUGCAGCUCAUUCAAGGAGGUCGUGUUACACCAGUCCUGGAACUGCAAUGACAGCUUUUGAUCUCAGCCCUGUCAGAUCCCAGUGAAAUGUGUCUUAGGGGUUGAACGUGUCCACCUGGCCCAGACUCCUAAUUCUGGGGCUGUUUCAGAACCUGCAGAGAUGCUUUUCUUUUUUGCCAGCUUUUCCUGCCAAUAUAGAGAUGACUCAGAGGCAAAUCCGGAGGACCUUUCUCAGAAAUUUGUGAUUUUCUGCCAUCCCUCAGCUUUUAGCCAUUACUUUAGUUGCAACAAAAGGCACGAUGGUGCUUCAAAAGAGGUAAAGGACAUUUUCCAAAGCAAUUACCAAUUCUGAAGCAGAAGUAGGGCUGAAAUAUAAUUGAUACAAGGAGACGAUUGGGAUUUCUGGGAGAAGCAUCUCUCUUUGGCUCACAGACAUGGUCCCAGAUCACCAGCCAUUUAGAAGCGCUUGGCCCAGGAGCUGAUCAGCACCACAGGGGAAGAUGCUGUUGCUACACCCAGCCACACUCACUGCCUGCAGCCCCUCACCUCCCCAGCAGCCCUCUCUCCUGGCUUUCCCCUCUGAUGCUGCAUCUCCUGCCCUCAGGAUCAGCGUCGAGGGGGUCUCUGGGUGCUGACAGUCACCGCUCUGUGGGAGCGAGCCCGUGCUGGUGAAGCCAGCCAUGUGGUUUCACGGGUCAUUCCUCUUCCUAUUUUCUCCAGACGUUGAGCUCUCUCCUCGUUGCCCUUCACAGUCCAAGCUGCUGUAAUCCUUUCUGCAGUGCCUGGAAGCGCCUCCAGCUAUUGCUCUCCGGGUCUGUUGGGCUCACAGCGAGCUGCAGCUCCCUGGCUGUCAGAGUGGCCUGUCCUGCACACACCCGACACGAUGCCAGCACAGCAGCCUCUCCUUGGGUACCACCUUCCACAAAUUUCUGCAAAGCUGAGGGGACGGGGAAGGUUUGCCUUUGUUAAAUCACCAACACGUGGGACAGCCUCUUCACAGAAAUACAUAUACAUGCAUACAUAUACAUACAUAUUUUAAAGUUUCUAGCCAACAGUGGAGUAGAACUGAAAAUACAGCUCCUUAAGGCUAAAAAAGGCAACAGUGAACACAUAAACCAAACCUGUUGCUUUAAACUCCAAAUAAAAAAAAGAAAGGAGGGGGAAGGUAAAUACCCAGUCAAGACAUAUUUUUAAGAUUUGUAAGUAUAAAGCAAUUUUAAAUGGAUGUCUUACAGAAAGGUUUCCAUUUGCUUUUACAAUUCCACGUGUUUUCCUUUUUUAAUCAUAUUCCUGCAGCAUUUGAAAUUCAAAUGCUACAGAAAUGUGUAACCUUACUCAUGAAAUUUGCUGGCCAAAUGAAGCAGACAACAAUUAAUUAGAGUGAAACCCCCUGCUUUACUCCCAUUGGUGAGAACAACAGAGAGAAAAUGUAAAAUUCAACCCAAAUGGGGUAUUGAGAAAAUAUUUUAAUAUGAUGUUCAUCUUAAUAAGCAAAACCAUUUCUUUCCUCCCUCUUUUUUAGUAAAUUGCUUUUCGCUUGACAAUUUCCUCACAGAGAAGUGACAAGUAUUAUUCCGAGUCGUUAAUUCCUCCAUGCAGGCGCUGAGCUCAUUAAAGCGUGCUGAGUCCCCGGGCGGGCACUGCCAGGUUGUGCAGUGACCUGAGACCAGAACACCCCUGCCUUGUGCUGUCCCCAGCCCUGGGACAGGCACUGUCACCGAGACAGCCAAGCAUCUCGUCUUCGUGGCUCCUCAGUGCCUUGGGUGGGUGACACGGGGACAUUUCUGUUGGAAUACUGAUGGCCCUUUCCUGGAGCAUCACUCCUGGCCGGCAUGGGAUGCACAAUAUGUGAGUUCUGGCAGCACUCAUGGCAUGUGGGAAAUUCUUCCCAGGUGGGCAGUGCCACUGUCACCAAAUGCUGCAGGGUGGCACAUCCCACUUGAUUUAGAGUCAUGGAAUAUAAAAUCAGAAUAUCACAGACCAUCUCCCUGUUCCCCAUGCUGAGGACACUCACUUUCCCAUUCAUCUCUUUUCCCCAGCCACACAAACACAUCAGCAGAGUUCCCGUGCCUGGCAUAUGUCCCCAAAUGGCCACCCUGCACAUCUUGGAUGAGAUGCCUGAGGCCAGAGGGAAUGGCUUUCCAUAGCAGUGGCAGAGCCAUGGGCAGUGGGAGCCAGGCAGAGCUUCUCCCCAGGCUGCGUUUGCCAGCAGCCAACAAACCGUCUGCAGAGCAGGAACACGGCGAGCUCAUGAUGAGACACUUGAUCAGCUUCCCUGUCAAGGGAGGCUGAUGGGACAAAGCUGUGUGUCCUCCACACCAGAGCCUGUCAGCUCUCCUGGAAAGAACACCUGGCUGCUUGGAGACAAUCCAGACACCAGCAAGGGUCUUCGUAACACCCUGGAGAGCUGUAGCCUGGAUGACAUGUGGCAUCCAUCAUCAUCAUCAUCGAAGGGAGCCAAACCAGCAGACCUCAGAGGCUGACUGCUCCAGGAGCCUGGGAACCAAGGGGUUAAAGUGCUUGGCCAGGGAAAGUCCUGGGAGGAGAAAAGCACUGAAACUGCUUAAUUAGAGUAUUUAAAUUAGAUGGGGUUGCAAAGCAGUUAAUUUCUCAACUUGAAAAAAACCAAAAUUAAUAUUUGCCAGCCAGGAUCAGAAGCAGUGGGAGCCAUCGACAGCUUUGCUGGGGCUCCUCGUGCUGGGGAGGACUCCAGAGGUCUCUGCCAUAAUUACCUGCAGUCUUUAGCAUUUUGUUCUGCAGUUUAUGAACUUGCUUGAGCAUUUUGUGGAUAAAAGCCGGUGAUCCAAACCCCAGCUGUAUUUCUGCUUAAAGAAGCCAAGGGCUGCUGCCUGGCAUUGCAGUGUGACACUUUGGUGUUUCAAAGAGUUUCCUAAGUUGCACAGACUGGAGAGGAUCAAACCAGUGGCUGGUGGAAGCAAACUGUGGCUCUGCCAGGCUGGUGCUCCCUCCCAGCCUCCAGGACCGGGCAAGCACCUCCCGUGCCUGCACAGAUGGACCAACAAAGAGCCCUGCACGGGCCGAGCCAGCACUCACACUGAGAGCUCACUGCCCCAUUGAUCCACAGCCAUGGACACCUCACUGUCAGCAGCCCCUGAGCAAGCCCAGCCAUGCCAGUGCCAGGGAGAGGAUGCUCUUCCCUCUGCCUUGUGCCAGAGCUCCAGUGUGGGAAUGUGGACUUGGGAUGCUGGGGGGACAGUGCUGGGACUCAUCCCUUGAUUAGUCCUUGUCUAUGGGCUGACAGCUUUUCUUGCUCUGGUCCAUCUGCCUCACCCCUCAGGCUUUUCUCAUCUGUUUCUUGCUGGUCUAAUCUUUUCUCUAAUAUUUAAUCCCAUGCCAAAUUCUUUCCCAUCCUCUUAAAAUUCUGAAAUUCUCUAAUAUUUUUUUCCUUAUCUUGUCUGCAUAAUUGAGAACCAUCUUGAAUCCCUCUGUGUUCACACUUCAUACCUUGUGCUGCCACUAUGUUCCAAUCACUUAAACAUGAGAUCUUUGCAUAUUAUUCCUGUGGGGACAAAUUUUUGCAUGUUUCCUAGAAAGAAAGUCGUCCUCCAUCAGCAAGUGCUUUGUGGUGAAAAAGAGGGGAUGUCACAGCAGGAGCAGAGGCAGCAGUGGAGAGUCCCACCCUGCACCGUGCCUCAGAGAGACACUGAUGUCUGAGACAAGCUGGGAUUUCUUUCCCAGCAAUAUCUUUGCUCUUCAAUGGCUGUGAGUGAAAGGCUUUGACACCCUCCAUCAGCACAGCACCAGGUGAGGGCUGGCACACGUUCCCUGCCACCCUCCCUCUGGCAAUGCAGCUGCCACUGCCCCUGGUGCCACCCACCAAGUCUCAGCACAAUGGGAAGGGAAGGAAAAAAGCCACUUCCCCCUGCACAGACACAUUGCACCAAGGGCAGAGAAAAUUGAUCUCUGGCUGCUGAGCCUCUCUAGCACUUUGUGUUGCUGAAAGGAAUAAUCAAGCCUGGCCCUGGAGAAGGCAAAGCCAGAAAGGAAAUAAAAGCUUUCCCUGUCUGAUGAUUUCUCUCUGGGGUUGGGGCACUCCCUGGGGACCCCAGUGGUGGUUUUGGGAGAGGCUUUUGCUCUGGGGCCUGGUUCAGCAGCAGAUCCACAACAAUCCCACAAAAUUUUGCUUUUCCUGCUCACGCAGCAGCUCCGAGGGAAAGGGGAAGAGGCUGCCAGGGCUCCCAGCUGAGUCCCCAGCAAAGGGGCUGCCACAUGCACUUACACUGGGCUUGCCCAGGAUGUCACUUGAGCCACAGCACAACUUCUCUCCAUGGAGAAGUUGGCUGCUUCUCUCCAAGCAGCCAUGGUCUGAUACAGAAGCCUGGCUUUCUCCAGGUUGUGCCCCUCACAACAACUGCAAGGGUUGGAGUUUGGGGACAAGUGCUGUCCCCAAGCUGUUUGGGGACAAGUCCUGAAGUGCCACUUAUGAGGCUGAGCAGGGGAGAAGGCUCCUCACUUGCCCUCAAGCCAAGGGUUUGAGCUCUGCCCUCCACAAGAGUGUGGGCCAUUUGCCACAGCCCAUCACCAGAGGCUCAAAAUCUCUAUCUAAUACUCUGUCAGCUGAACAAUUACCAAAUUAAAAGAAAAAUCCACACUGAAAGGGGAGUCCAGAGGCUCCUCCUGGCUGCCAGCAGCACACCCUGAGCUGGCCUAGCCCCAGCUUCAGCUACCUGCAGUCCAGGGCACACACAUUUCCUCAGGCAGCCCCCUCAGCCCCAUCCUUGCCAAGCUGUCCAAGACCUGGGGGUGGAGAUGUUGGCAGUGUCAGGCUCCUGUGAGCAGGGCUGUGGGGCCACCAUCACAUCCCCACACUGGUCCAGGGGAGCUGACUGUCACCUCAGCCCCAGGUAAGCGCUGCUGAGGGAUGCCCUAUCAUUUGGUGCCCUGUGGAAGAUGCAGGCUGGUGAGGCUGCAGGUGGGAGAGGCAGAGGAGGAGGAGGUGGCAGAUCUGUCCCAGCUCCUGCUCUGCAGCCUGUGCCAGGACCGGCCAGGCUGGCUGGCGGGGGUGUUCGUGACUCAUGAUCCCCGAUCACCACCCGAUGACACAUUUACUGCCAGCAGGACGGGCCUCCUGCCAGCACAGCAGCCCUGCAGCCUCAUGGGAGGGUGGCUGGGCUUUGCCAGCAGCUGUGCUGAUGCAGAUGGGUGGGGAGGUCACCAGCUGCAGCCCUGGGAUGCACAACCUGAGGUACCCCUGGCUGGGUGGGUAAUGGGGGCAGACCAGGACCCUCUGUCCCAAUGUUCAGUUUGGGAGAACAGGGGCAGGGAUGGGACCUGGCCCGGGCCAAGCUCAGCAGGCCUUGGAGCCAGCCCAGCUCCCUCACCUCCCACAGCACCCUCCCUGCCUGCCCAGAGAGCUGGCUCCCGGCAGCAGGCACGGUGACAAAUGCCUUUAAAACAUUCUUUAUUAAGUGAGAAAUCUCACUGCGCUCCCUAUGCCAAGCCCUAAUACAGUGCAGACCUAAAUACAGCACUAAUGCAAAAGCUUAAAGGAUUUCCCAUAAUUGAGCAAGGCUGGCAGAGGGGCGAGAGCCUGGUGGGGGGAACUGCAGCCCACCUCCCUCCUCAGCGUGGGCUACCCUCAGUCUAUCCCCACUGGUCCACAUGUGGCCACAGCCCCCACCCAUGGACUGUUCAGUGUAGAAAAUUAAAAUCUUCUAAGGCCUCAUCCUCCCCAGCUCAGAGCUCCAAGUUGCCCUCAUUACCCUCACCCAAAUCCCCUUGAUUUAUGCAAUAGCACAAGUAGCAUCGUGAUGUGUGACCUGUGCGUCACCCGUCCUCUCGCUGCCAGCACUGCUGGGGCCCUGCCUGUCCCAAACCUUGCUGAGGGUCACAGCAGGGCCAGGACAGCAGGACUGGGCACAUCCAGCUUCCAAAGCACAAGGGAUGCUCCAGACAGGGGAGCUGCUGAGCCAGCACCCGCUGCUCCUGCACACUCCAGCACCAUGGGGUGUGGGUGGCCACCAGCACCUUGCACCUCAGACAAUAGAUGGUCUUACCUUUGUAUUUCCUCUGCCUUGGCACAGCCACGUGGCUCUGAGAACAGUGAUGGCAAUAUCCUGGGUCUCCUUACCAGCACAGCAGAGCGUGACCCUCGGGCAGGCUCACCCCACAGGGCAAGUGGCUGAUGGCUUUGAUUCAUGCUUCUGCGGGGGAAAGCAAAAUACAGUUUUCUUCAAGAGUUUUUCAGAAGCUUUACAAAGCACAAGCACCUUUGUCUUGGUGCAGCCACAUGCAGCCCAAAACACCCCCAGUGCUCUUUGAUGUCAUCACCAGGAGCUGUUCACCAGUGGGAGCCCUGCCAGACAUUCCGUUGCCACUGUACUGCAGGUGUGGGGGCAAAACUGGGGGCUGGCAGGGCUGUGGGGCAGGUGGGGCCAUGGCCACAGAGGCCUCACGGCCAUGGGGAGCACAGGACGUGCAGAACUGCAGCAGAGGCAGUGCCAUGGAGAUGGGCUGAGGGCUGGUGCUGCGAGCAUUAAAGCAGAAGCGGCAUCGAUUACAGACACGGGCUCAGAGCAGCGGUGGCUGCGGAGGGUGGGAGGUAGCAGCUCCCUUGGGAAGGCUCUGAUAACAUUUACCAGCAAAUCAUUUCCACCAACCGUGGAGCAAAGCAGAAAUACCCCUGUGGAGCCCAGCUGUGGCUGUGAAGAGAGAAAUGGUGCAGCAGCACCGUGUCAGGGCCUCCUGCCUGGCAGCGGGGAUCUUCCUCAGGCAGGCGGUGAGGUGGCACAGUGCCAUUCCCUCGGGGGUGAGGUGGCACAGUGCCAUCCCCUCAGGGCUGGAUUUACACACUCGAUCCAGGGGAAGGACAGUUGGAAUAGUGGGGCAGAUGCCAGGGCACGUGGUGCUAAAGACUGGCAGAGCCACCCUGAAAAAGGCAAAAGGAGGAGGGAAUGGCAAAGCAAACAUCUUCUGACCGAGCCAGGCCUUGCUGGGUGGCUGCUCGUCCAAACCUGUCCCCAUGGCCUUCAGGCUGUGGCUUUUUCUGUCUCUCUGUCCACAGAGAGCUCAGAGGCCUCCCAGCCCACCCUCAGGGAUCCUUUGUUGGCAUGUGCUGCCAUCUCCGAGAUGCACUCAAGGCAUGUCUCACCUGGGCUGGAGGAGGCACCUGAGUCCACUGUCUGCAGUAACAGCUCAGAGCACAAGUGAGGGUGCAGGCUGUUCCUCACACUGCUCUGCUCUCUGACACGACCCCUGCUAGCGAGAGGUAAAGGCUGCCUGUGUUGGAGAGCAUAUUUUAGAUCCACAACUCAUUGGGGAUUAGCCAAACUUUUCUCCAUUCUCUUAUUUCUCAUAAUAAAUAGAUAAAACUGAUCUAUUCACCCAGCACUAAGACCAGAUUGAAUAAAAACUGGCUUUGGACCAUCUGAAUAUGGAGCAAGUCUUGAAAAAUUGAAUUUUUCCCAUGUUCCCCACUAAAGUUUCAACAGCCAAAGAGCUAAAAGAGGUUUUUGUAUGAAACUUCACUUUCCUGCACAAACAAGCCUCAAUGAAAAAGUAGAAGGGCCAGGUGCUGUAAGACUUCAAAAUGACACAUGCUGUAAAUAGAGUAUCAUAAAUAAUUUUGGUCAUAUCCUUUAAUCCAACCCCACCUAUAAAGCAGCUUGCAGCAGCUCCUCCUGUAACUUCUGCAAAUGGACCCCAGGUAAAAUCCCACAUCCCUGGCCCAAGGAUGCUGUUUGGCCUUGAAACACAAUUUAAAGUCUCAUGCUGGUGGACUACCCUCAAUUUUCAGUGCUAGUGUGGGACUCCGAGCCCCAGCCCCCUCCAUGGGGGAGGCUUCUGAGCAGAGCCGGUGUCUCCAGGCAGCCAAGGCCCAGCCCAUCCCAAAUCUCCAUAAAAUGCAUCACUUGAAAGCCCGUGUCUCCAUCCUGCAGAAAGAAAGCCAGACCAGAGCUAGCAAUAAAAAUGAUGAGUACCAUUCAGGCAGGAUCCCAUGCUUCCACAUCAACUGCCUAGAAAAGUUUCAGUUCCACUUUUUUUUUAAUCUUAGAAACAAUUCAGACAUUUAACUGUGCCAUCAGAUGAGGCAGGAGUCAUUUAUAGAAGAAAGCUCUAAGUGGCCUUGACACACAAAUAGAGUCAAUUAACCUGCAAGGAGAAGUCAGGGGAACAGGCUGAUGAAAAAGCAGCAGUUAUAUAAUUUGUCCUGGGCUCGGUCUGUCUGUUCUCAAAGUCAGCAGCUUGUCCUACUGAGCAGCGUCUGCCCAGCCUUCCCCUGGCCACCACUCCUGCCCAGAGCAGCUCUACUGCACCCACAUCCCCCACACACAUUCUCAAACUCCCAAUCCUAAUCCCUCCCCCAGGUGCCAAGAGUCAGAUUCUUAAAAUCCUUUGGGAAAGCAGCCAAGGAUCCCUCCCCUGCUGCAAGGGGACUCCCCUGCGCUGGCACCAGACCCCUCUGGCUGCACCAUCCAGGCUCACCCAGCACGCCGUGUCCCAUCACAGCCACCUGGGUGCCGAUGCUGCCCUGCCACUCAACACUCGCACAUCACAGGGGCAGUUACACCACAAGGGGCAGUUACACCACAAGGGGCAGUUACUCACAUCACAGGGGCA
Molecule: long non-coding RNA, 10532 nt
Organism: Motacilla alba alba
Lineage: Eukaryota; Metazoa; Chordata; Aves; Passeriformes; Motacillidae
Exons: 3
Source: RefSeq, a predicted model, not a curated record